CUACAGUGAAAAAUAUUGUCAGCUGACAAUCUUCCCAGGAGUGGACGUCCCAGCAAAUUCACCCCAAGGUGGUGCUGAUGGAUCGGAAGCUGGACGACAUCCUGAAGAUCGUACUGGAGCAGUUCCGGAGCCAGGCACAGCUGUCGCCGAAGCUGCGGGUCGCCGUAACCAAACGCUGGGGAGCCAGCAUGGAUGAGGGCCAGUGAACUCACUGUCACCGCCUCAUUUCUACGCGGGACUCCGGUGGAAGCCAGAGGAAACCUGGGCAGCAAAGAAGGAGAAUGCAAAGUCCACACACAUGGAAUAAUCAGAAAUUAAACCGGCAACACAGUCAUUUCACACAAUCAGCCACUGGACUUCCUUGUCCAGUAAAUGCAUUACCUCAGGGUCAUGAUAAACAAACCUGUUACCAGUGCUAAUUUCGUCAAUGAAAAUUUUGAUAAGUAUUUGUUGACUAAAUUGUAACGACAAUGUAAAUGAAAAAAUGGUUGACAAUGAAAAUUACAGCACAAUCUCUGUUCAUUAUACUUUGACGAGUAAAGACAAGACAAAAUUGCUGGCUCUGUUUGGGCAGACAACCUAGAUCACAGUAGCCAUCUAAAAGCAUUGAUUGUUAUCCUUUUUAACCAAUCAUUUACAUGCAUAUAUCUGCAAGUGCACGUACCAGUUCUUACUGUGUUACUGCCCCAAUUUUCCGUUCGACAACAGUUUUGGAUAAUUGCUGACAAAACCCCCAGAUCUAAGGCAUCUGUGUGCCAUCGGAGCUGGCAAAUUGGCGCUUGAUCGCUAUCUGUGAACUAUUUACAAAGCAACCCAACAGAGUCGGCAGUGCAUCGCAAACGCCCGUCAGAUAUCUAGCAGGCUGUCAGGGUCAGCACCCCUCUGUCCAAGUCUUUUGUGUCUUCUCCCUGUUUGGCCAGCUGGUGUCACUUGCCAUCCUGUCCUCGUUGUGAAAGUCUUUAGUGUGUUUUGCCUGCUCCCUAGACUUGCGCAUGGCUCAGUGAGCUGAGUAUGCAGUCAUUAAACCCCUCUGUUGUAUGUUCAAAUCCCGUCUCCUGUUUUUUGUAUUUUUGUAGAUUUUGUUCCCUACUGAUUCAUUUAAAUCAGUUUUCUAGUUCCUGUGUUUUGUAACGUGUAUUUGGGUUUGGUUUUUUGCUUUGUGCCUGUGGUUGUGUUUUUACCUGUCUUUGUUAUUCCCGUAGUGUUAGAUUCUGUUUCUUAUUUUCUCUGUUAAGUUUGAGUUCCUUGAUUUAAUUAGUCGUGUCACCUGUUGUCUGUUUUCUUGUGCCAGUCCUUGUGUGUUUUACCCUGAUAAUUGUUAAAUUUCUUACUCCUGUAUUACCCAGUUCAGUUUCUGUAUAUAUUUCAUGUGCUCUUCAUUGUGUAUUCCAGAACAUUAGUAGUUUUUAUAUUUGUACUUUGUUCCCUGCCUGAUCCUUAUUGUCUUGUCCCUGGACCUUGUUCCCUUAACUUUUGUCUUUUUUUUUUCCUAUUUGCUUUUUGACCCCUUGUAGUCCGUGUGAUUUGUAGGGUUCCCAGUGUUUUCAGUUUCUGUUAAUGAACCCCUUGUGUUCCCGUGAGUCAUCAGUGGAUUGUCACCUCCUUUCCCCACCUGCGCGAUGCCCCGCCCCUGUGCCAGAACCUCCCGAGUCCCUGACAGCAGGCUAAAUAUCUGGACCUGUCAGGGAGGUCAAAUCCUGUAGGUGUGAAAUGUGCAAGACACAGUGUAAGGCAAAACCUGAGGGAUGAAUUAAAGUUCAGUUUGUUUAGGACUUGUUCUUAGUGUUCAAGGACACACACACGUGCAAGGGUCAUCUUGGAGAGAAGUAUCUUGCUGAAACGAAACAGAGAUAAGUAAACUAUAUCUAAUAAACUGAAAGGGAUGCAUAAGGUUAAUGCUUAGUCCUACUAAUGUCCAUUUUUUUUUGUUAUUUCAGCAAUUUUACUGUAUUAUGUACUUUUUGUUUUGAAGAAGUGUUAUUGUAAAUUGUGAAGACAGGUUUUGCGCAUGGUUCAUGGGUGUUUGAUAAGUGUUUAGAUGCCCUAAUAACAAAAAUUAUUACAGUACAAAAUGGCCAUGCAGUUAAUUUAUUAAAAAAUAAAUUAUAACCUCAUAACAAAAAUGAAACCGAGAAAAGUAUUUGUU
Non-coding RNA from Paramormyrops kingsleyae, 2146 nucleotides. Lineage: Eukaryota; Metazoa; Chordata; Actinopteri; Osteoglossiformes; Mormyridae. The record is from RefSeq and is a predicted model, not a curated record.